Molecule: ribosomal RNA, 468 nt
Filed under: uncultured bacterium
Lineage: Bacteria
Description: partial 16S ribosomal RNA
Rfam family: Bacterial small subunit ribosomal RNA
Source: RNAcentral
GACGAACGCUGGCGGCGUGCUUAACACAUGCAAGUCGAACGGAAAGGCCCUGCUUUUGUGGGGUGCUCGAGUGGCGAACGGGUGAGUAACACGUGAGUAACCUGCCCUUGACUUUGGGAUAACUUCAGGAAACUGGGGCUAAUACCGGAUAGGAGCUCCUGCUGCAUGGUGGGGGUUGGAAAGUUUCGGCGGUUGGGGAUGGACUCACGGCUUAUCAGCUUGUUGGUGGGGUAGUGGCUUACCAAGGCUUUGACGGGUAGCCGGCCUGAGAGGGUGACCGGCGACAUUGGGACUGAGAUACGGACCAGACUCCUACGGGAGGCAGCAGUGGGAAAUAUUGCACAAUGGGCGGAAGCCUGAUGCAGCAACGCCGCGUGCGGGAUGACGGCCUUCGGGUUGUAAACCGCUUUCGCCUGUGACGAAGCGUGAGUGACGGUAAUGGGUAAAGAAGCACCGGCUAACUACGUG